UAACAAGGUCUCCGUUGGUGAACCAGCGGAGGGAUCAUUAUAGAGUGUAAAAACUCUCCAACCCCCUGGUGAACUAUACCUAUAUUCUGCCUCGGCAGGUCUUUUAGGCCUGCCAAAAGGAACCUAAACGCUUUUUUUAUAAGUCUUCUGAGUUUUAUACCAAAAAAAAUCAAAACUUUUAGCAACGGAUCUCUUGGCUCUAGCAUCGAUGAAGAACGCAGCAAAAUGCGAUAAGUAAUGCGAAUUGCAGAUUUUAGUGAGUCAUCGAGUUUUUGAACGCAUAUUGCGCCUGCUGGCUAUUCUAGCAGGCAUGCCUGUCCGAACGUCAUUUACGGUACUAGAGGCUUCUAGAGCUUCUCUGUUGGAGGCUGGCCUAGCGGCCACCUCUUAAAUUUAGCGGCGGCAGUUGCUUCUAUUUCCCCUGUGACGUAGAGUUUUACUCGCAGCGUGGAGGAUUUUUGCAGCCCGCCUAAAAAUUCCAUCUAGUUGACUUCGGAUCAGGUAGGAAUACCCGCUGAACUUAAGCAUAUCAAUAGGCGGGAGGAA
This 546-nucleotide ribosomal RNA is filed under the name Ophiocordyceps sphecocephala. RNAcentral describes it as "eukaryotic LSU rRNA". The stretch from base 174 to 328 matches the Rfam family "5.8S ribosomal RNA". The record is from RNAcentral. Lineage: Eukaryota; Fungi; Ascomycota; Sordariomycetes; Hypocreales; Ophiocordycipitaceae.